GAUGAACGCUGGCGGCGUGCCUAAUACAUGCAAGUCGAGCGAAUGGAUUAAGAGCUUGCUCUUAUGAAGUUAGCGGCGGACGGGUGAGUAACACGUGGGUAACCUGCCCAUAAGACUGGGAUAACUCCGGGAAACCGGGGCUAAUACCGGAUAAUAUUUUGAACUGCAUGGUUCAAAAUUGAAAGGCGGCUUCGGCUGUCACUUAUGGAUGGACCCGCGUCGCAUUAGCUAGUUGGUGAGGUAACGGCUCACCAAGGCAACGAUGCGUAGCCGACCUGGGAGGGUGAUCGGCCACACUGGGACUGCGAAACGGCCCAGACUCCUCCGGGAGGCGGCAGUAGGGAAUCUUCCGCAAUGGACGAAAGUCUGACGGAGCAACGCCGCGUGAGUGAUGAAGGCUUUCGGGUCGUAAAACUCUGUUGUUAGGGAAGAACAAGUGCUAGUUGAAUAAGCUGGCACCUUGACGGUACCUAACCAGAAAGCCACGGCUAACUACGUGCCAGCCGCCGCGGUAA
RNAcentral lists this ribosomal RNA (515 nucleotides) under uncultured bacterium. Its description in RNAcentral is "partial 16S ribosomal RNA". It matches the Rfam family "Bacterial small subunit ribosomal RNA", at positions 28 to 523 of the family's 1533-position model. The record is from RNAcentral.